RNAcentral lists this ribosomal RNA (468 nucleotides) under uncultured bacterium. RNAcentral describes it as "partial 16S ribosomal RNA". It matches the Rfam family "Bacterial small subunit ribosomal RNA", at positions 28 to 507 of the family's 1533-position model. The record is from RNAcentral.
GAUGAACGCUGGCGGCGUGCUUAACACAUGCAAGUCGAACGGUGAAGGCGGAGCUUGCUCUGCUGGAUCAGUGGCGAACGGGUGAGUAACACGUGAGCUAUCUGCCCCUGACUCUGGGAUAAGCGCUGGAAACGGCGUCUAAUACUGGAUACGAGCUGCGAAGGCAUCUUCAGCAGCUGGAAAGAACUUCGGUCAGGGAUGAGCUCGCGGCCUAUCAGCUUGUUGGUGAGGUAACGGCUCACCAAGGCGUCGACGGGUAGCCGGCCUGAGAGGGUGACCGGCCACACUGGGACUGAGACACGGCCCAGACUCCUACGGGAGGCAGCAGUGGGGAAUAUUGCACAAUGGGCGAAAGCCUGAUGCAGCAACGCCGCGUGAGGGACGACGGCCUUCGGGUUGUAAACCUCUUUUAGCAGGGAAGAAGCGAAAGUGACGGUACCUGCAGAAAAAGCGCCGGCUAACUACGUG